Non-coding RNA from Sus scrofa (pig), 3669 nucleotides. The record is from RefSeq and is a predicted model, not a curated record. Lineage: Eukaryota; Metazoa; Chordata; Mammalia; Artiodactyla; Suidae.
AAAGCUGGAAGACAAAAAGACAAAACUGUUAGAAUGGAAAUGAGUCACUGUUUUCCAAGACAAGUGUUUUCCAAGGUACAGGCAGGAGGUGACACAAAGAGGCAUGGGGAGAUACUUGCGGUGAUAAAAUAUUUUGCAUAUUGAUUAAUAUGGUGAGUACACUACUAUAUGUAUUUGUCAAUACUUGCAGAACUUUCACUAAAAAUGAUGAAUGGUAUACUGUGAUGAUUGUGACUUAAUACACAUGUUACACAGCCACUGACACGGGCCCCAAGUUAAUGAUGGUCCCUAGUGUUGGUAUAAAUGCAAAAGCUCUGCAGUGUCCUGUGGGCAGGAACAGAACACGACUGUGAUACACACCCUUCCAAGGGGUGCUGGACACCUGGGGAGGUGGGCCAAGGGACAGUGGGACAAGGCCAGGCCUCCUGGGGGAGAUCAGUUUGGUCACAGGACCCUCCCCCGAAGGCAAGAGCUUUCAGGUAAAGGGCUCAGGGCUGAUGCCGACCAAUGAGAUGGGCCCUCAUGGAUGGAAUGGCAGUGACAUCAUAGUUCCGAUGCUGCCUGGCACCCACUCUGCUUCGUGUCCGAAGGCAGUUGGGAGCUCUUGUGGUCUCUGACCUGCUCUGGAGCUUGCUUGUCUGUCCUGUUCUGACCCACCAUCCCCCUCAUCCACCUUGUCACUGUUUCUAGAGGAGAGGCGCACCUCCAACAGCGAGAGCUCAGAAAGGUGAGCAAGAGAGGCACCCUCAUCCCUAAUGGGCACCUUGGGCACAGAGGCCACUUGGCAGGUGACCCCCUUCCCCAUGAGCUGUGGCUGAGCUGACACCAACACUGGAGCACAGAAGGCAGUUGGAGGCCCUUGUGGUUGCUGACCUGCUCUGACGCUUGCUCGCCUGCCCGCCCUGCUCUGACCCACCUGAUUCCCACACCUUCCUGGUUGACUUGUUAUCAUUUUGAGAGGAGAGGCCCACAUCCAACCGCGAGAGUCAGAAAGGUGAGCAUAAGCUGCACCCUUGACCCUACCAACACUUCAAGGAAGGAGAGGCGACUGGUUGGUGUGUGGACCACUCAGGUCUGGGCCUGAGGUGACAGGGACCUCCAGCACCAAGCCCCUGAGCAUGUAGCCCACUCAGGGCUCUGUGGGGUGUGGGCUGCUGCCAGAGAUGCCUGAGUCCCUGUGAAGAGCCUGAGGUGAGAGCUCAGAACCCAGGCCCAGUAAAGGAAGAGAGGGAGAAGGAAGGAGGAGAGAUGAUGCAGGAAGAGGAAGAGGAGGAUGUGGAGGAAGAGAGGUCUAGCCAAGGAGAGAUGAAAGUAGGAGGAAGGGUGGAUACAGGAGGUGAAUUAGGAGGAGUUAAAAAGACAGGAGUGAGAGCAAGAAGAGUAAGGAUGAAGGAAUUAGAGCAGGUAGAUGGAAGAGGAGUAGAUGAAGGAGGGGGAGAACUAAGCAGGAGAAGAUGGGUGGAUGGAAGUGAUGGAUAGAAGAGGAAGAAGGAGAGGUGGAGGAGGGGGAAGAGGAGAAAUAGGGGACCCAGGCCAGCCCAGAGCAGGUGGUACUGCAAUCCAGAUGGGGUUGCUUCAGUGGUGUAGUGAGCCCCAGGUUUGAUGCUUGGACCCUGGGUACCUCAGGGAGCUGUGUGAGGCCUGGGUGGAAAGUCUCUGGCCUGAUUUAAGUCCAUUGGCAAGGGAUUAGUGUCCACAUCACUACUGUCCUGGAACCCCUAAUAGGGAGGGGGAGAGGAGGAGUGAAGAAAGGUCAUGGUCGGGGACCAAGUGUUUCUGAGGGGCCCUGUGCCUGGGUUCAUUGCCUGCCACUACAGCUGGCACAGUCACCUUCCACUGCCAGCUGACUGUCCUGUCCCUGGAGGAGAUGACCUCCUUGGUUAUGGAUUCAGUGCUAACACUGACCUCUGACCUUGGUCCUAUUUUGGGUGGAUUGGCAGCAACCUCCAAGUUCAACCCUCUGCAUAGCACCCUCUCUGCUUUGUGUCCCCAGGCAGUUGGAGGCCCUUGUGGUCUCUGACCUGCUCUGACACUCGCCUGCCCUCCCUGUUCUGACCCACCGACCUGAACUUGGGUCCAUUUAUACAGCAGAGACCAGCUCUAACAGCAAGAGGCCAGAAAGGCUACUGGAGUCCCUCAGAGUUGCUGAUCUGCUCUGACACUCACUCGCCUGCCCACCCUGCUCUGACCCACCUGAUCCUCACACCCGCCUGGUUACCUUUUCACCAUUUUGAAAGGAGAGGCCCAAGUCCAACAGUGAGAGUCAGAAAGGUGAGCUUGAACUUCUCCCUCACCCACUACCAACACCUCAAGGACAGAGGCCACUGGUGGGUGCCUGCACCACUCAGGUCUGGGGCUGAGGUGACAAGGACUGCCGGCACCAACCACUGAGCAUGCAGCACCCCUCAGGGCCAGAAUGCCCAAGUCCCUUUGAGGAGCCUGAGGUGACAGCUCAGACUCCUGGCCCAGAAGGGAAGAGGGGGAGGAGGAAGGAGGGGAGAGAAUCCAGGUGCUGGAGGAGGAAGAGGGGAAGGAUGGGGAGGAAGGAAGGUCUAGCUGGACCAGAAUUGGAUGGAGAAAGGAGGAAGGAUGAGGUGAUUGAAGAGGAGUAUAAAAUACAGGAGGGUGAGGUAGUAAAAGACAGAUGGUUGGGGGGAGGGGAAUAGCAGGAGGAAGGAAGCGGAGGAAAGGUGGGGAGAUGGAGGUGGAUAGAAGGGAAUGCAGGUGAGAUGGAGAGGGGAGUGAAAGAGAAGCAGGGUGUUCAGACCAGCCCAGGGUCUGCUGUAUCGAGUUCCAAAUGAUGUUUCUUAAAAGUUGUACCUGAGGGAGCACCUUGUUUGAUGCUGUGACCCAGGGAACCUCAGGCAGCUGGGUGAGGUCUGGGUGGGAAAUCUCUGUCCUGAUUCAAAUCCAAAGGCAAAAACUGAGGGUCCACAUCACUAUCUUCCCAGAAACCUCUAAGAUGGAGGAGUGAAGGAAGGUCAGGGUUAGGGACCGGGUGUUCCUGAGUUUUCAUGUGCCCGAGUCUAUCACCUGUCAGGCUACAUCUGUCUGUGGUCAUCCUCCCCUGCUGGGUUACAGCCCUGUCCCUGAAAAGGAUGACCUCCUUCAUUUUGGGCUCAGUACUGACCCUUACUUCUGACCUUAGCCCAAUAUUGUGUGGAAUUAGAAUGAACUUGCAGCUGCCUGGAACCCACUCUGCAUCAUGUCCCCAGGCAGGUGGAGGUUCUUGCGGUCACUGACCUGCUCUGAAGCUUGCUCAUCUUCUGGCCCUGAUCGAACCCACCUGAUCUCCACACCCACCUGCUUACCUUCUUACCAUCUUGAGAGGAGAGGCCCACAUCCAACAGGGAGUGUCAGAAAGACAGUUGGAGGCCCUCGUGGUCACUGACCUGCUCUGACGCUCACUCACCUGCCUGCCCUGCUCUGACCCACCUGAUCCCCACACCCGCCUGGUUACCUCGUUACCAUCUUGAGAGGAGAGGCCCACAUCUAACAGCGAGAGUCAGAAAGGCAGUUGGAGGCCCUGUGGUCUCUGACCUGCUCUGACACUCGUCCAUUUCUCCACCUCUCCCACCCCGUCCCUGGGUGCAUUUCCACCAAAGAGGCACAGAACCAGCAGCGAGAGGACACAAAGGUAAGUGUGACUUGCUCCCUCACCACAUACUG